Lathyrus oleraceus (garden pea) is the source of this 1511-nucleotide long non-coding RNA. RefSeq lists it as uncharacterized. The transcript is spliced from 2 exons. The record is from RefSeq and is a predicted model, not a curated record. NCBI's taxonomy places the organism in Eukaryota, Viridiplantae, Streptophyta, Magnoliopsida, Fabales, Fabaceae.
CAAUAAGGGGGGUGUAGUGUUUGAAUGCCGCUUGGGCUUCAAGCCCAAGCUUCUAACCAUUCCAACCGGGUUCAGCAUGAGCAACCCGAAACUAUCCCCCUCUUCACACGGAAGCCCGUCCCUCAUCUCCAAAACCGAACGGAGGAUCGAAACGACGGGAAGCUUAUUCAUAAUACCAAGACCCACGGUUCGCGGUGCAAGAAACUCAGAAUCUAAAUCGUGCGUACCACUAUGAACAUAAAUAAAGAUCAAGAACUAUAUUUCUCGCUAAGGAUCAAGAACAACGAUUUUCGAAUCCGUGACGAAAAUUCAACAUCAGAAUGUAACCGAGACCAAAUCGAAGCGAACUUUGUUCCGAAAUUGGAUUCCUUGUACCAGUUCUCGCGCGUCAUCAAGUUUUUUUUAAUACAAAGGGGGUUGGAUUGGAUGUUGUUAGGGAGAGAUUCGUUCAGUUUCUCUUGGUUCUGUUAUGAAGCAGUUUGAGGUUAUUGAAAGUUGGUUAGAAGUUGGUAAUAGGUUGUUAGAAAUUCAUGUAGAGUUUGAUUUGGUAGUUAGGAGUUUGUUACAUUCGGUUGAGGGGUGGUUAUCCUGUUAGAAAAAUAGUUAGCUUGAUAAGUUGGUUAUGAUAGUUAGGAUGCUGUUAUAUGUUUUGUUGCCUUCCAGAUCCAGUUCUGUUGAGGUUUUAAGGGCUUUUAUUGAGUUCCAUUUUGGUAUGACUUGUCGGUUUUAUCGAUUGUGGCAGUCGGUUUUUUGGUUGGCUUAUUCAGUUCUGGUUUUUGUAGGGUUCAUUUGCUUGAGUUAGGAAGCAUGUGGGACUGAUUUUUGUAGCAAGUCUUCAUGGUGGGAUGAUGUUGCCUUAUUGCUUCCUUAUUGCUUCCUUAAUGCGGGAGCUCGAUCAAUUAGUUGCAGUGCCGCCAGUCUUAUGCUUGAUGGGGAUAGAAUAUGUAAUAAUGGAGAAAUUAAGUCUUUAACAAAAGAAGUAGUUGUAGCAUGAUCAAAUAGGAGCAUAUGGGUGCUUAAGAGGAUGCGAUGAUGGGAUGCCAAUUUCCAAACUCUCUUCCUUUGAUUCAAACCAUAUAUUGUGAUAUUAUGUAAUAGAAUUAGAGAUUUUAUGUUUAUGAAUGGAUUGGGAAAUGUAUGCAUUUGUGAUUGAAUGGUUAAAUGAAAUGCAAUUUGGAAAACUGAAAAUAGAAUGGAAUGGAUGUGUUAUGAAAAUGGUUAUUGAAUGGUUUCAAAAAAUGUAAAAUUUUUGGAGAUUGAAAUUAAGAUGGAAUUGAUGUAUUGUGUUCAUAAUGAAUGGGAUUAAGGUUAAUGGUUUAAUGAUGAAUGGAAACAAGGUUUUGGUUUGAAAUUGUGGUUUGGGUUGACUUUGGUCAAGGUUGACCAAAAAGUCAAUUGUUGACCAAAGUCAACACUUGGUCAAAGUUCCACUCUUUUUUGUAUUUUCUCAUGUAAUGGACAUUGUAAUGAUUGAAGUUGGCCAUUUGAAUGAAAUUGGAUUGGUUUUUGAA